Molecule: long non-coding RNA, 1711 nt
Organism: Aquila chrysaetos chrysaetos
Lineage: Eukaryota; Metazoa; Chordata; Aves; Accipitriformes; Accipitridae
Source: Ensembl
CUUUCCCAACGGUCAGGGAGAGCUGCUGCUGCCGGGUGUGUGCACCGUGCCAGCGGGGAGACAGCAGAGUGUCCUGGACCUGCAGCUCCUUGGCCGGGGAGCCGUACCAUCGCUGUGACAGCUCGCCCCUGCUGCAGCAGGGACCCUGCCUGCACUGGGGAGGGCCUGACCAGGGAUCCUGGCAUCUGCAUGUGGCUCUGCAGCCACGGGAGAUGGUUUCCCCCUCUUUCCGCAAGCAGGCGGUGAUUGCCACCGAACCCUGGGGCUCGGGGCUUUGAGAAGGUGAUCGAAUACAGCCUUGAACCGGCGGGAGAGGAGCGGUGCCCGGCCUUGCUGCAGGACGGGCGGUGAGGCGGCUGUGUCACCAGGAGAGGAGGGGACGGGCAGGACGUGCCAGGCGCAGCGCUCACUGCUGCUGCAGCAGCUCCCAGCUGGGGCUAGCCGUGAGCAGCUCCUGCGGCACGGCGCUGGGCGAUGGACCCCCGGGCAGGGCAAGAACCCAUCAACGUGCUUGGGGUUGUCAUAGGUGUCGGGCUGGCCUUGCUGAUCCUGGUGCUUUUUGGCUACACCUUCAUCCGGUGGUACCAGAGGGGCCAGUGCUGGCGCCGGCCCGACUUUGUCUUCAACCUCUACCACACCUGGUAAGUGAGGCUGUGCGGGGUACCUGGGUCGGGCUGGGUGCUCCCUUCGCAUGGUGCCGAGGUGUCGCAAACCCUCACCAGUCCCUAAACUCACUGAGCUCUGCUGUUUGCAGGUGCUGCCCCUCCGGGACAGAUGCCCUGGGGAGUCCCGGCUGUUCAGGGACAGUCCCCACGCUGUGGGCUGGCGGGGGGACAGGCAGCUCACUGACAUCUCUGCCUUCCCUGCAGUGGGCUGGGGUCAGUGGCGGUGGAGCUGGUGCCGCCGUUCAGCAUCAGCGGCUUGCUGAGCAGGACGGGGAGCAGCUAUGUGCCUUUCCAGGACCGGGGGCCAUGAGGCGGGAGCCAGGCUGGCGUGCAGAGCUUCUCCAGCUGCUCCCUGCAGGUGCAUUUCUCUUGCUGGCCCACCCCUGCCACAGGCAGCACAGGUAGGUGCCUGAGGUCGGCUGCCAUCCCCAGGCUGGUGCACUGGCCCAGCCUCCCCUUGCUUGAGAUGGAGGAGGAGGGAGCUGCCUUAUCCCACGCUUCCUCAGCACACAUCCUGGAGAGAAAAGACACCUUCCCCACGGACCCCCACAGCUCAGAGAGACCCCAGUCCUCAGGACCAGCCAGCUGCGUGCCCGGGCUGUUGGUGAACAGGGCAGUGGGAGUGCAGGAAACCAGCUAAAAAGGACAGCAAUGAGCCACAGAACUGGACAGCUGGUUUUGUGCAACAGGGGAAAAUGCCAUAGGGAAAUGAGACUGCUUCAGACUUCCCUCCUCGGUUGAAUAUCUAGACCAAUGUGGAAAUUUGUCCUCCGCACUGAUGGUGCAAGCAAACACCUCAGAAAGCCCCCGUGGGCUUUCUCAUGCCAGCCGCCUUCAGCCUCGGCAGAGCAAGCAGCCGUGGAAGCGCCUGGAGCCCAAGAGCAGCCCUGGCAAAGCUGCUGCGGCCCUCAGAGAGGGGCCCCUGCCCGGCAGGUGAGGGCUGGUGAGGCACGGGGGCUUUGGGACCGUUUCUUUGCAAACUGUGUUCUCAGAAGGAAAACAAAGAGAAGCUAGGGAGACCGUGUGGUUGCGUCUAGGGAAACCGG